CUUGAUCGAUCCGAGCCACAGCGGCAGGUUCUCCGGGCGCUCCUGACCGUAGGUGGCCAGCAGCGCCUGCGCCUC
Molecule: non-coding RNA, 75 nt
Organism: Streptomyces zinciresistens K42
Lineage: Bacteria; Bacillati; Actinomycetota; Actinomycetes; Kitasatosporales; Streptomycetaceae
Rfam family: ASpks TB sRNA
Source: Rfam